RNAcentral lists this ribosomal RNA (252 nucleotides) under uncultured bacterium. Its description in RNAcentral is "partial 16S ribosomal RNA". It matches the Rfam family "Bacterial small subunit ribosomal RNA", at positions 524 to 776 of the family's 1533-position model. The record is from RNAcentral.
UACGUAGGUCCCGAGCGUUGUCCGGAUUUAUUGGGCGUAAAGCGAGCGCAGGUGGUUUAUUAAGUCUGGUGUAAAAGGCAGUGGCUCAACCAUUGUAUGCACUGGAAACUGGUAGACUUGAGUGCAGGAGAGGAGAGUGGAAUUCCAUGUGUAGCGGUGAAAUGCGUAGAUAUAUGGAGGAACACCGGUGGCGAAAGCGGCUCUCUGGCCUGUAACUGACACUGAGACUCGAAAGCGUGGGGAGCAAACAGG